This 339-nucleotide ribosomal RNA is filed under the name uncultured bacterium. RNAcentral's name for it is "bacterial SSU rRNA". It matches the Rfam family "Bacterial small subunit ribosomal RNA", at positions 28 to 371 of the family's 1533-position model. The record is from RNAcentral.
GACGAACGCUGGCGGCGUGCUUAACACAUGCAAGUCGAGCGGUAAGGCCCUUCGGGUACGACGAGCGGCGAACGGGUGAGUAACACGUGGGUGACCUGCCUCUAGCUCUGGGAUAAGCCUGGGAAACUGGGUCGUAAUACCGGAUAUGACUCCACGGCGCAUGUUGUGGGGUGGAAAGCCUUGUGUGGCUAGAGAUGGGCCCGCGGCCUAUCAGCUUGUUGGUGGGGUGGUGGCCUACCAAGGCGACGACGGUAGCCGGCCUGAGAGGCGACCGGCCACACUGGGACUGAGACACGGCCCAGACUCCUACGGGAGGCAGCAGUGGGGAAUCUUGCGCAA